RNAcentral lists this unclassified non-coding RNA (271 nucleotides) under Chorda filum. RNAcentral describes it as "ITS1". Lineage: Eukaryota; Phaeophyceae; Laminariales; Chordaceae. The record is from RNAcentral.
CCGAACAUACUGGUUGCUAAACAGUCUAAACGAAGCGAGACCGACGACGGCGCCGCCUCUGGCGACGCACGAGGUUCUAACCCCGUGAAUGAAACUUGCGUUAUGCGAAGUCGGGCGAGGGGCGCCUCGCGGAGCGUGUGCUCUUUAAUUCAAACAGCGCGCGCUCUAAUCAAAGCGUACCCCACUUUUCAACCCCACCAAACUCUGAAUCUGAACUAAAAAGGGGGGUGGUAAGCCGUCUCCGACGCGCGCCCCCUCAACCUUUAACGUU